CAGGAAAUAGUUUAAAAAAAACAAAAACUUUGGGAGUUUUAAACUUAGUCACACUAAUUUCCUGA
RNAcentral lists this transfer RNA (65 nucleotides) under Popenaias popeii. RNAcentral's name for it is "tRNA-Pro". The record is from RNAcentral. Lineage: Eukaryota; Metazoa; Mollusca; Bivalvia; Unionida; Unionidae.